This is a long non-coding RNA of Sinocyclocheilus grahami, 125 nucleotides long. RefSeq lists it as uncharacterized. The transcript has 3 exons. The record is from RefSeq and is a predicted model, not a curated record. Lineage: Eukaryota; Metazoa; Chordata; Actinopteri; Cypriniformes; Cyprinidae.
AACCCUAUGUUAGAGUAGACAGUAUCAUCCAUGGAUCUAGGCAGUACCGCCCCACCUACGUGAUUGAUUUUCUGGCGGUCCUCGGCACGCGACAUCCUCUCGUAGUAAAGUUUUCAUACAGCGUG